Non-coding RNA from Physcomitrium patens, 1184 nucleotides. The record is from RefSeq and is a predicted model, not a curated record. NCBI's taxonomy places the organism in Eukaryota, Viridiplantae, Streptophyta, Bryopsida, Funariales, Funariaceae.
AAAUUCAAAAACCUCAUAUUCCAUUGCUGUAUUCAUCUCCUUUCAAUUUCCGCACACUAUAAACAUAGUGCCAUAUUUCAUUCAAUAGAGAAUAUACUUCUAUUUUGUUUCAGUCAAUCAAAUUAUUUAUUUAUUUAUAAAUCUUUAUAAAUAAAUCACACGGAGGGAAGCAAUGGUAGCAGAGCUCCUGGGAGUGGAGCAAGCAGUGAGCGCGAGAUCCAAGGCGCAAGGCAACGCUGCUGACAUCGCAAUUCACGCCGUUGUCAUAUUCAAGGCGAAAGCGGCUCUUGUUAUUUCAAUGUGAAUAGUUACUUUGAAAAGCGCCACAUGGAGCUGCUCUCCCCAGCUGAAAUCAAUGCUCAGAACCCAAGUCACCAAACAUCCUAUCAACAGAAACCACACUCUGUGCCUUCACGGUGUCUUUACAAGCAAGUCUUACGUUGCAGCCGUGCUUUGGAUCGUUUUCAACACCUGGCAUCACGAAAAACUGCUUCGUUCCAGUUCUGCGUCCACUUUUUGCUGGAUUUUAAUUCUGGAUUCUUUGUAUUUAGUAAUAUGAAUUGGGCUUGAUUGACGUUGCUCCACUGAAAAAAGAAGAGACCAAAUUUUGUCGUGACUUUGAGAGUGGAUGACACACUGUCUGGUGCAAAGUAGUUCAAGCAUCUGAACAAGACUGCUGGAAGGGUUUCUUUAACAAGGCAAAGGCCAACCAUGCUCGUGCGUCCUCCACUCGGACUCUCCUGGUAUGGGUGAAAAUGGAUUCAUGUAAAGCAAUCUCUUGAGGAGGAUGCGAUUAUGAAAUGCAGGUGAAGUUCCGCUGCAUUGGUCGAGGGACAGAGAAGACAGUUGAAGACAGAAUCAAGCACCAGGAGUUUGUUCUGCUUCUUAGGAGAAAUAUCGAAAGAUAGAGAAGCAUGGGAAGUGAGGGACGAAACAGACUAUAUACUCUCUACGUUGAGAUUGUAAACAAACAUAGCAAACACAGCGUGACGGGACGAAAAUCAGCGGAGUCACUUCGCCAUAUUAAUUCUCGGCGAGCUCUGCAUCCCAAUGCUGGAACAGCAAGCUUGGAGCCAGAUAGAUGUAACGGCUGGGAGUGGUAGAGAAUGAUCGAAUGGGCCGAAGCCUAUGUCACAACCUUUACAAUCUCUUAUUAAGAGUAAACAAAAACUCUUGUAAAAUGA